CGGACUACAGGGGUUUCUAAUCCUGUUUGCUCCCCACGCUUUCGCACCUCAGCGUCAGUAUUGGCCCAGGUCGCCGCCUUCGCCACUGGUGUUCCUCCCGAUAUCUACGAAUUUCACCUCUACACCGAGAAUUCCGCGACCCUCUUCCACACUCGAGCACUGUAGUUUCGGAUGCACGUCCUCGGUUGAGCCGAGGGAUUUCACGUCCGACUUACAGCGCCGCCUACGUGCGCUUUACGCCCAAUGAUUCCGAGCAACGUUUGCACCCUUCGUAUUACCGCGGCGGCUGGCACAC
RNAcentral lists this unclassified non-coding RNA (295 nucleotides) under uncultured Kofleriaceae bacterium. Its description in RNAcentral is "contains 16S-23S intergenic spacer region". The record is from RNAcentral. Lineage: Bacteria; Pseudomonadati; Myxococcota; Haliangiales; Kofleriaceae.